UGGGGGGGUAACGGGCUCACCAAGGGCAACGAUGCGUAGCCGACCUGAGAGGGUGAUCGGCCACAUUGGGACUGAGACACGGCCCAAACUCCUACGGGAGGCAGCAGUAGGGAAUCUUCCGCAAUGGACGAAAGUCUGACGGAGCAACGCCGCGUGAGUGAAGAAGGCCUUCGGGUCGUAAAACUCUGUUGCCGGGGAAGAACAAGUGCCGUUCGAACAGGGCGGCGCCUUGACGGUACCCGGCCAGAAAGCCACGGCUAACUACGUGCCAGCAGCCGCGGUAAUACGUAGGUGGCAAGCGUUGUCCGGAAUUAUUGGGCGUAAAGCGCGCGCAGGCGGCUUCUUAAGUCUGAUGUGAAAUCUUGCGGCUCAACCGCAAGCGGUCAUUGGAAACUGGGAGGCUUGAGUGCAGAAGAGGAGAGUGGAAUUCCACGUGUAGCGGUGAAAUGCGUAGAGAUGUGGAGGAACACCAGUGGCGAAGGCGGCUCUCUGGUCUGUAACUGACGCUGAGGCGCGAAAGCGUGGGGAGCAAACAGGAUUAGAUACCCUGGUAGUCCACGCCGUAAACGAUGAGUGCUAAGUGUUAGAGGGUUUCCGCCCUUUAGUGCUGCAGCUAACGCAUUAAGCACUCCGC
This 634-nucleotide ribosomal RNA is filed under the name uncultured Bacillota bacterium. RNAcentral's name for it is "bacterial SSU rRNA". It matches the Rfam family "Bacterial small subunit ribosomal RNA", at positions 250 to 872 of the family's 1533-position model. Lineage: Bacteria; Bacillati; Bacillota. The record is from RNAcentral.